GAGCAGAAUGCACUGGUAUAGAAGUCUGACGCUCAUGUAGAGACUUGUGUUGGCCCCCUCCUGUGUGUCAGUAGGUUCUAGUUUUCAAGCUCACUGCUCUGGUGGGUUAAGGGCCAAGAGGGAGAGAGAGAAAAAGAGAGAAAGACAGAAAGGGAGAGAGAGAGAGAGAGAGUGAGUACCGGAAGAUGUUGACAGGGCAGAAGGAGAAAAUGACAUGGAGUGAGUUCCUCCAGUGGAUGUGGGGCAGUUUUAUGAUGGUUUCAUUUGACAGACAACGCAAGAUCUUCUGCCUCUUCAUCUUCAUCUUCCUGGUCUUCACCUGUUAACAUUACUGCCCAUCAGCUGGACCCUUCUGAGUGUGUACUGAGCACUGCCCCUGGAAAUCCUUAACGUUUACAUCACGCUUUGUUGCACCGAACGGCAAGACUACCGACCCGCCACCCACCCACCCACCCAUGCACAGCCACCGUUCGCU
Long non-coding RNA from Anguilla rostrata (American eel), 475 nucleotides. RefSeq lists it as uncharacterized. The transcript is spliced from 3 exons. Lineage: Eukaryota; Metazoa; Chordata; Actinopteri; Anguilliformes; Anguillidae. The record is from RefSeq and is a predicted model, not a curated record.